Long non-coding RNA from Pogona vitticeps (central bearded dragon), 1834 nucleotides. Lineage: Eukaryota; Metazoa; Chordata; Lepidosauria; Squamata; Agamidae. The record is from Ensembl.
ACAACCCCUACUCCCCCUCACCCAAUAUGCCUGCCUCCCACGGUGCCAUAAUUUUUGUGGCUGGUGUGAUUCCCAAAUUGUUCUCCAGAACGGAAGUUUCCACCCUGGCCAAUUACAGAGCGACAAUGUGCCAUAUGAUUAAAGGGCAGUGACUUCCACAUUCUGCUGUACAUAUUUGCCUCUUCUACUCCUGAGGAGUCCCAAAGAGGCAAGAUGGAAGGAAAGAACGGUUCUGGCAGCUCUAAUCCAGAAAAUCAUGUUUUCAGUUUGUGUGCUUUGGAAAGGGAGUUGAGUAUGAAGAUGGCACUGUCUGGAGUUGAAAAGAGAGGUGAACGUCUCCAUUCCUCCUCCUCCUCCUCCGUCAAGUUUGACGGAUUUUUUUUUGUUCAAGCAAAGAGACAAACAUUCCUUGUAUUCCAGAGCAGUUCCGUUUUCAAAGAGGCAUAACCCUAAUCCAGCGUCACUUAAGAGGUCAGCUACGGUUGUCCAAGCUUUGCCAAUCAAUGGCCAGAUUCAGCUGUAACUACCGGGGACAACCAUGGCGCCAGAACACCAGAGCCUGGCAACUGGAUGCAGUGCGUUCGAUUUCCCAGCCUGGCUGAAGAACAAAUGAGCCAGCUCAGAAGCCAGGAAACAGUUACAGAAUCGCUCGGGACACAAAGAAGACCCAAGCGGCUCAUGGCAUCCUCCUCUGCUUCCCUGCAUCCCAGCCAAACACCCCCACAAACCAUCUGCAUCGCCCUCGCAGAGGUCCCGCCGUACAAAGUCCCCAUUGUGUUCUGCAUGCAAGUAAUACCUAUGUAUAUUUCAGCAGACGUAAUGUACUGUGGGUGACAGCAGUGAUGAUGACAGCAGCAACAGAAGAACAGAAAGUUGCUGGAGAUGACGUUUUUCCACAUGACGGCAGCAUAACUGUGACUUCCAAAAGCUAGCCAAAACAGGUGGCUCUACUGUUCUCUGCUGAAAGGUUCUCAGGCAUAGAAUUUGAAGGGUCUCCAUAACUGAGAGUGGAGUAUGUCUCUCUCGGUCUUUCCACACUCUUGCUUCCUGAACCAGAUGCAAAGAAAGUAUCACUGCAAAGGACUCUUGGGUCUGUAAGGCAGGCAGGAUCUCAGCUAUACUGGGCUUUGUUGACUAUAAUCCUCCCCAGUGUCCCCAGAAGGAACUCGCAAACCAUUGCAAAAGGUAGUUCAAUUUGCCUGAAAGAUAUUUCUAGCCUUUUAGCACAUUGGCCUAGGGUAAAGCAGUCUGCCUUUUGGCUUGCAGGUCCAUGGAGGUGAGCUCUCCAAAAUUUGAAAACUCUCUGAUUUACAAGUGAUUAUAAAUGCAUCCCAGUGCCUCUGUUUUCGCCCAGAGAGUUGAAAAUGAGGCAGCAGCUGUUGGGCACUAGCUUUGGCUUGACUCACCCCUUUUAGGGGGUAGGUGUUUACACUCUGCAUCAAAACUUCCCUGAAUUUCUUGCAGACAUGAAACUGCUACCAUGGACCAUCUGUCGGAAAUGAUUCCUCCUCUCACCACCUUAGCCAAUUAUCUAACAGUGGGAAGCAAGCUAGAAGGUGAUAUAAGCCUAUCAUGUGCUUCCCCGGGCUUAAGCUGACAGUAUGAAUUCACCUGGGGAAAACACAGCCUCCACUUUGACAUAUCACAGAGCUGAGUUUGGGGUCCUGCGUUGUGUUGAGUUUUAGCCUAAAGAGAGUUGAGACAGAGCUGAGUUUGGGGUCCUGCGUUGUGGUGAGUUUUAGCCUAAAGAGAGUUGAGUUUUCUCUCUCUCUCUCUCUCAUUCCCCCCCCUCGUACCACAAGAAGAUGCAAGAAGCAUCACAACAUGGAUGAUU